AUGCUCCUGGGGCUUAGUCUGAAAAGACAGAUGGAAGGACUCCUGUUUCCGGAAUAUACCCUCAGCUCGGAAAUAUACCCUCUGUGGUCCCUGAGCCUCACCUGGGACCUCACGUCAUCUCCCGUUAGCAGGGCCGGCCAUCUUCCUGGGCAGGGCAAGCCCUCUGCACCCCGCCCCCACCCCCCUCCCUUUCCCCCACGCAGAACUAAGCCAGCGCCCUCACAAAGGGGCACCCAUGCCUUGUGCUUUGCAGCUGACCUCACAUGGGAGGAAUCUGCCUCUCCCCAGCUCAUGACUGUCAGUCCCAGGGCAGCAGACCCUGCUCCAGGAAGUCACACCGGUCUUAUGGGUUUCCAUGGACUAGAAUCUGCCAGAUCUACCUCCCGCCCUCUGAUUCACAGCGCAAGCAGCUGGGACUCAGAACAGGGGUCCUCCAGUCAGCAAGUGGAGCAAGUCUGGGUGUGUCUGCUCCCAGGCCAGCCCCUCCACCAGAGAAGGCAGAGAUGUCUAUUAAGUCCCAUAGAUAUGGGCCACACUGGAGCGGUAGCGUCCAAAGGUGACAGAGGAGCAGUGGAGAGCUGCAAAGCAGAGGACAGGUGAGCAGGAAAUUGCUGGAGAGUGGCUGAAAAGCUACUUUCCUGCCACUCAGGUUUUACUAGGAGGCCUGCUUGGAGUGGGAUGGGGGGUUGGUGCAUGAAGGGGAGAAGGUCAGAAGGCUCUGGGGGAGAAAGGUGAGCCCAGAGCUUCCUCUUACAGGCAAGUCUUUGCGUGCAUGGCUGUAGCUUUACCCUCUCUCUAUCCCGUGGUCCAGCCUCCAGCACUCUUCCUCCAAGGGGUUUCAGGCCCCAGGCACCCCCAAACCACCUCUCUCCCCAGCUUAGGAACACAACUGAGAAACCUGGCGUUGGAGGAGACUUCACAGUCAUCAGAUUCAACCCUGACUUGUAUCACAUGAAGGAUGACACAGUCUAGAGAGGGAACAGAAGGGCAGGGGUCACACAGGGGGUCAGCAGCAGGCCCCGGCCAGGUCCAGAUCUCCAGAUUUCCGGAGUUCACCUUUACUCACCUCUGUGUCUUUGCACAUUCCAUUCUCUCUACUGGAAUGCCCUUUUUUUCAUCUCCUGCCUUAUUGACUUUUUUGAACACUCAGAGCUGAUUGAGAGCUGCCCAUGUCCCUGUGUUCCAGGCAUUUAGGGGUACAGCUUUGAACGAAACAGGUGAAAGUCCCCACCCUCCCAAAACUUUCAUUCCAGUGUGGAGAGAAAGUGGCAAGUGACAUAAACACAUACCUGGAAUAUAAAGCAUGUUAGAAAUACUAUGUAGAAAAAAUAAGGUAGGAAAGAGGCCUAGGGAGUGUUAUGGGAUUGGAUGUUGUAUAUUUUAUUUUAUUUUUUUGGCUGUGCAGCAUACCAUGUGGGAUCUUAGUUCCCCAACCAGGAAUCAAACUCGUACCCUGUGCACUGGAAGCAUAAAAUCUUAACCACUGGGCAACCAGGGAAGUCCAAUGUUGGGUAUUUAAAUGAAAUGGUUAGGAAAGGCCUACAGCAAGAACCCAAAGGAGUUGGGUCAGGAUGAGGAUAGGCAGGGGAGAAGGAACAGCAGGGGCCAUGUCCCCAGGAGGCAUGUUCUGAAAUCAGAAAGGAGGCCAGUAUAACUGGGCAUGUAUGGAUGAUGGAAACAGCUGUAAGAGGUGAGGGUGGAGGAGUGGGUGAUACUGGGCAGUGGGAGAAAUCAUGAAGCAACUUGGGCUUUUAUGGUGAGUGAGAUGAGAAGGCUCUUCGUAGUACUGCCCAGAGGAGUGGCGUCAUCUGACUUUUAAAAUGUUCUCUCUGGCUAGCUUGGAAGCGGGCAGCCACAGUAAUGGAGCAGCUGCCUAGAGCUGGGGUGACAGUAGAGGCAGGGAGAAGUGGUCAGAUGAUAGAUAUGUCUUGACAAUAGAAUCAGUGAGAUUCCCUAACAGAUUAGCUGCAAGGUAUAGGUGAGAGCAAACAAUGACUCAAAAGUUCUUGGCCUGAAUGACUGUAAGGAUGGAGCUGCCAUUUAACAGCGACAGAGAAGACCGCAGGAGGGGCUGGCUUUGUGGGAAAAGUCAACAGUGAGCUUUGAGACAUGUUGUUUGAAGUGCCCCUUAGACACACCCAAGUAGAACUGUCAAGUAGGCAAUGAGAUACACUAGAAGGAGAGUUCAGAAAAAGGUUCAUGCUGUAGACAUAAAUUUGGAAAUCAUCAGCAUAUAAAUGGCAUGUGAAGUCAUGAGCCAGGAUUAAGUCAUCAAGGGAAUGAAUACAGAUAGAAGAGGUCCCAGGACCAUCCCCUGAAUCACUCCAGUGUCAAAGGGUCAGAUGAGAAGCAACAAGUCAAAAAACUGGGACAAAAUGAGAAGGAGCAGGUGGUGAGGUAAGAAAUUCACCAGGAGAAUAAGGCAUCCUGGAAGACGAGUAGAAACAGUAUUGACUGGAAAGGAUGAACACCUGGGGAAACACUGUAAAGAUGAGAACUGAGUAUGUCUGUUUGGCUGGGCAACAUGGAAUCCACUGAUGACCUUGACAAAGGUAGCCAAGGGCUGCGGUGUGGAUGAAAGCCAGACCGCAGUGAUUCCAAGAGCAAAUGAGAAGAGAGGGCUUAGGAGCAAUGAGGAUAGAAAGCGUUCUCCAAAAAUCUUAUAGGGAAGAGGAGCAGAUAAAUGGGAAAAUAACCAGUGCUAAUUCCUGUCCUCCAGUUUCUUCUGAACUUUGCUCAUGGCUUUGCCCUUCCCUUGCUGGGAAGCUGUCACUGACAGACCAAAGUCUAUGAGUCUUGACCAAAGUCAAGUCAGCUCUACCCUGACUGCUCUCGAGCCCAUGCUCAUUUCAACCUCAUCUCCUCACUCUUUGCUCCUGCCUGUAGAAGCCUGGAUCCAGCGUGGGAUUUCCCACUUCUUCUCUGUUCCUGUGGAGCUCUUCUGCAAGUAACUCCAUGACUUACUUCUGCACCUCAUUCAGACUUCUACUCGAAUGUCACGUCCCUGAGAUGGCUCCUCCAGCCAUGCUGCCUAAAAUAGGCCCCUCACUCCACCAUGCUGUUUAUCUCAUUAGAGUGAUCAUCAGCAUUUGAACUUAUGGUAUUUAUUUGUGUGCUUGUUUCGCUAGGAAAAUAAGUUCAUGAGAAGAGAGCUCUUGAUUGUACUAGUUCCUCGACUUGCCCAGUACUCAGGACCAUACUUUGCAUGUGUGUGAGUACACACAUCUUGAUUGUACUAGUUCCUCGACUUGCCCAGGACUCAGGACCAUACUUUGCAUGUGCGUGAGUACACAGUCACUCAGUCAUGUUCAGUUCUUUGCAACCCUCUGGCCUGUAGCUCACCAUGGUCCUCUGUCCAUAGGAUUCUCAGGGCAAGAAUACUGGUAUGGGUUGUCAUUUCCUACUCUAGGGGGUUCUCCCAACCCAGGGAUCAAAGAUGCUUCUCCUGCAUGUCCUACAUUGGCAGGCAGAUUCUUUUACCUCUGAGCCACUUGAGAAGCCUCAUAUUUGGCACAUGGUUUCUCAGCAUGCCCAAUAUAUCUGUCACUUACAUAAAUACUCCUUAAAGUAACGUUUACUUAUGUUAAAAAGAUGCAAACAUGUUUUCCCAUAAAAAAAUGUAACCUGUAAUAUCUGGUUGUUGUUCCUGAUGACAGAAAACUUAAUGCAUUCACAUCCAGAUAAACUCAAUCAACUCUGGCUUAACUUCAAGCAUUGUAAGAUCCUCUCUCCUAUCCCUUCUCCUCUUAGCCUCAGAUUAUCUUAAGUUUGCUUUCUGAAAGCUAUACGGUUUUAGAUCUCUGCCAUGAAUCCCCAACUGGAGCUGAAACUCCAAUACUUUGGCCACCUGAUGCGAAGACCUGACUCAUUGGAAAAGACCCUGAUGCUGGGAAAGAUUGAAGGCGGGAGGAGAAGGGGAUAGCAGGGAAUGAGGUGGUUAGAUGGCAUCACUGACUUGAUGGACAUGAGUUUGAGCAAGCUCUGGGAGUUGGUGACGGACAGGCAAGCCUGGCAUGCUGCUCUCUAUGGGUCAUAAAGUGUCAGACAUGACUGAGCGAAUGAACUGAACUGAACGGAUGAAUCCCCAAACCUUAGAAACCUUCAGACUUUUCUUUUGAAGAUCCAGCCCUUGACUCUACUCUGGGGUCUGCGCUGCUGGCCAGAUGGAAGACUCAGGGAGUUUUGUACACAAAAAUGGAUGAGAUUGAAAUAUUCCAAAGUUUCACCUCUCCAUGUCAUGUCUCCUUCUUCCUGGCACUAGUGAUCAUUUGACUUUGUAAACAUUUCUUCCUCUCCAUUAAUAGUCUCAAGCUUUAGAGAGGAAAGUCAGAAACCCAUCUUUCCUCCAGCGUCUGCCUUCACUCUUUUUGGUGGUAUUUCUGUGCUUCAUGCUUCAGUCCUCCACUCCCGUCCAUGGCAAUACAAGGCCCCCAGCCAUUCUCCACCCUUGCCUCUAAGUAGUUCCAAGCAGCAGGUGGAGCUAACUGGCUAUAAGGCCAAACAAAAUAGUGAAGUCUGCAUUUAGGGGUGAGAUAGGAGAGACAGUCCUGGCAUUUCUGCAGGCACUAGGAGCUAUUAGAGCCACGCCGGCCUCAGCCCUUCUUGGGAGGGGAGGGGUGUUGUGCUGUGCCCCUUCCCAGGAGGCAGGAAGGGGAAAAGGGGAAGAGGGGCUGAAACCAGGGUAAGUAUAGUGUGAUUUUAUGUGGGGAAGGAGGAGCAUUCAGUCUAUCUAAAGUUCAAGGAGUCCCCUCUUCUAUGCUGUGCUGUGUAAUAUCAGUUUAAAAAUAGUUUGUGAUUUUUGUCCAUGACUCCUAAAUGCAAUUCAACCCCUUCAUCCAGUGCUUAACCAAUCAAAUAGCAAUUGAUCUAGUGUGAAGGGGAGAGGAAAUUAGGAUUGUAAAGACCCUUCUUAGGUAGCUCAGUGAUAAAGAACCUGCCUGCCAAUGCAGGAGAUGUGGGUUCAGUCCCUGGGUUGGGAAGAUCCCCUGGAGGAGGCAAUGGCAACCCACUCCAGUAUUCUUGCCAGGAGAAUCCCAGAGACAGAGGGGUGUCGAAGAGUUGGUCAUGACUGAGCACGUAUGCACACACUUUUAAAGACACAUUUAAGCCUCCCCAAUUUGUCCCCUCCUGAGUUUUCUGCCAUUGAAAUGAUUCCUCUUUUUUUUCCAGCUUUAUUGAGAUGUAAUUGACAUAUAUCAUAUAAGUUUAAGGAGUACAAUGUGAUACAUUGAUAAACAUAUAUAUUACAAAAUAUUUACCACAAUAAGGUUAGUUAACGUAUCCAUCUUAUAAUUACCAUUUAUUUGUGUGUGUGGUAAUUUAAGAUCUCCUCUCUUAGUAGCUUACAAAUAUCAUUAAAUUCCAGAGCUUAUUUAUUUUCUAACUGGAGGUUUGUACCCUCCAAACAAUACCUUCUCAUACCCCUACCAUCACCCCACCCAGUCCUUAGCAACCACCACUCCACUCUGUUUC
RNAcentral lists this long non-coding RNA (5472 nucleotides) under Ovis aries (sheep). RNAcentral describes it as "lncRNA (ENSOARG00000025553.1)". Lineage: Eukaryota; Metazoa; Chordata; Mammalia; Artiodactyla; Bovidae. The record is from RNAcentral.